RNAcentral lists this long non-coding RNA (2433 nucleotides) under Homo sapiens (human). Its description in RNAcentral is "HSALNT0205128". The record is from RNAcentral. Lineage: Eukaryota; Metazoa; Chordata; Mammalia; Primates; Hominidae.
CUUAUUAGAGAAGAAAGAUAAUAUUUUUAGCUUAAGAAAAACAAUAUAAAAUAGACAUUUCAUAAAAGCAUAUUUAAAUGCACCUACAUUGUUAUUUUAUUCCUGUGUUCCAUAAUUGUUAAGUCUAGUUUCCCAGCGCAGAUGAUCUAUCAUAUAAAUUGACUUGGAAUAUAAUUGAUGUUCUCCUCAUAUCAGUAUACUUCAAUUUAUGUUUUAGCCAUUAAAAAUAUAUAUUCAGCAUUUCUGCGCUGAUUAAAUACUAUAAUAAAUCUGAUUUUACUGAAAAAGUCAAUGCAAAUUUAUUUUUUAAAAUUGUAAUAUAUUAGUUGUCUCUGAAAUUUUUUUUAUAAUCAUUUGAACAUUUGAAAAGCAGACAAAGCAAAAAUACAGACUAAGGAAAUAUCUGUAUUAUUCUUUGAGUAUUUUGGUAAACUGUUUCUGUGAACACUUUUAUAAAUAAACUCUUUACCCUUCCUGGGAGCCUUGCAAUUGUGACUGACAGUUUUCUUAGUGUGUCCGGAAUUGGUGGGUUCUUGGUCUCAGUCACUUCAAGAAUGAAGCCACAGACCCUCACGGUGAGUGUUACAGUUCUUAAAGGCAGCGUGUCUGGAGUUUGUUCUUUCUGACGUUCGGAUGUGUUCGGAGUUUCUUCCUUCUGCUGGGUUCGCGGUCUCACUGGCUAAGGAGUAAAGCUGCAGACCUUCACGACUUGGAGUCUUGCUUUGUUGCCUGAGCUGGUCUCGACCUCCUGGCCUCAAACAAUCCUCCUUCGUCCGCCUCCCAAAACACUGGAAUUACAGCUGCAAUUGGGAUUUUCAAGCUGACCCCCAUCUGGUAGGAUGAUGAUGCCUUCUGGAAGAUUCUCGACAGAGCCCAAAUGACCAACAGAGUAGGUCAAAAGCAGAAGGACAGAUGAUAAAAUGCCAAAAAAGGGAGUUUCAACCAGACAAGAGUUUAGGAGAGUAUUUUGAUGGAAAGAAGAUAGCAACCAUAGGACUCGGUUGUAGACAUCCAGAAGAUGGUGCAAAACAGUAGCUGCAUUUCAGCAGAAGCCCAAUGGAUGUGGAAAACAAUGGCUUAACAGAGGUAACAGGCUGCCAUGAGCUUCAUAAAAACAAAUUCAUGACACUAAUUGACUUAUUUAAUAUGAGAAGAAUCAAGAUUUUCACACUCAAGUUGAGGACAUACUUAAAUUAGCCAACCAAAUAAAGGUAUGUAAUACAACAAUACCCUUUUUGGAAGCUAGGGAAGCAGUAUUUUUUACUGGUAGAGAUCAAAAAAUUUUCCCUAAGUGAGUGUUGUAUACUUUGUGAAUGUGUGAAUAUAUGAAUGAGUCAGAGGGCAAGUCUUUAGGAAUUUUCUUUGUAACUCUGAGUAAAACAGUAGUGUCAAUAUUCCCUUGGGUUAAUGUAAGCAGAUCUGCUAUUAAUACUAGGCAAAAAAAGGAAAUAAUUCUUGAACUUUCUCAUAUUUUAUAUAUUAUGGUAAAUUAUGCUGAAUGAAUUUUAAAAAUUAGUAAUUGUGAAAUGUAAAUUUAAUUUUCUUAAAAUAUAUCAGGACUAUACUAUAGUUUAAAAUUCAUGAAAAAUUAUAAGAAGUUUACAUUUAUUGACAAAAAUUAAAACUAUAGAACUCUUGAAUCACCAAACCUAAUUUCAUACUUCGGCGAUAAUUCUGUGUGAACAGUAUUUCCAAAGAGAUGAAUUAAUGUAUGUAGCCUAUUAAAGUUCCUUGUGAGAGUGAGAUAAUUCUAUAAAUACAUAAAGAAGUUUAUAAUUAAACAAAACAACUUUCAUUAUAUAUUGACACUGCAUGAUUAAUAACUGCUUUCUAAAUUUGUGAUGCUUACUAUAUAUACUUGUAUUACAUUUCAAAUAUUAACAUAAUUUUCUCAACAUAUAUUUAAACAUGUGUUUUCUAUAAGAUACAUGCUAGAUAGUGUAAGUCUCUACAUGAAGCCGAAACUGUAGAACCUUCUCCUUUUAGGGAAUUUAUACUACAAUUUUAGACUGCCUUCUGAUGUUAAUUUAAACUUAUUUCAAAUAGAAUACUUAAUUAGUAAAACAAAUCCAACUCUACAGCAUGUUUGGAUGAAAAAACAAUAAAGACUGCAUCCAGAGAAAAAACACCCAAUAUAGAAAACAACAAUUUUAUAUAUCUUUCUCUACUUAUAUUCUUACCAUUCUGUUUUAUAAUUCCAAGUUGGAUCUAUUUCUGUACUCAAAAACAGAAUAGUAUUUGCCACUCUUCAAAGACAGGAUGCUUUUUUAGAAAUUUGUGUCUUUUUUUCAUAUGGUUUUCUCUUUCCGUCUUCCACCUAUUAAACAUAGAUAGCAUUCAAUACCUUGGUUAAGUAUGAUAUUUUAUGUGAAGCUUUCUGUGACCAUAAAAGAUCAUUAAAUUUCUUCCUCCUUUGAAUUUUAUAUAUUUGCG